This 389-nucleotide RNase P RNA is filed under the name Alphaproteobacteria bacterium. RNAcentral's name for it is "RNase P RNA component class A". It matches the Rfam family "Bacterial RNase P class A". Rfam says of the family: Ribonuclease P (RNase P) is a ubiquitous endoribonuclease, found in archaea, bacteria and eukarya as well as chloroplasts and mitochondria. Its best characterised activity is the generation of mature 5'-ends of tRNAs by cleaving the 5'-leader elements of precursor-tRNAs. Cellular RNase Ps are ribonucleoproteins. The record is from RNAcentral. Lineage: Bacteria; Pseudomonadati; Pseudomonadota; Alphaproteobacteria.
CGAAGAAAUCGGGUGGCCGCUAUAUGUCUUAUGAUGUGUAGAGGAAAGUCCGGGCUUCACGGAAAAACGACGCCGGAUAACGUCCGGGGAGGGGGCAACCCCUUACGGCCAGUGCUGCAGAAAAUAAACUACCUCUCUUUAUCUUCGGAUGGCGAGGGGAAAAGGUGAGAAGGUGCGGUAAGAGCGCACCGCGAAUUCGGUAACGGAUUUGGCAUGGUAAACCCCGUCGGAAGCAAAACCAAAUAGGAGCUGCAUGUUACUUCGGUAACAGGUGUUUUUCGCACUGUGGCUCGGGUAGGUUGCUUGAGGUAUUUGGUAACAGAUAUCCUAGAUGAAUGGUCACCCCUGAUUUAUCAGGACAGAACCCGGCUUAUAGAUUUCUUCGACAU